RNAcentral lists this ribosomal RNA (253 nucleotides) under uncultured bacterium. RNAcentral describes it as "partial 16S ribosomal RNA". It matches the Rfam family "Bacterial small subunit ribosomal RNA", at positions 524 to 776 of the family's 1533-position model. The record is from RNAcentral.
UACGUAGGGUGCAAGCGUUGUCCGGAAUUAUUGGGCGUAAAGAGCGUGUAGGCGGCCCCUUUAGUCCGCUGUGAAAGUCCAGGGCUCAACCCUGGAAUGCCGGUGGAUACUGUGGGGCUAGAGUCCGGAAGGAGCGAGUGGAAUUCCUGGUGUAGCGGUGAAAUGCGCAGAUAUCAGGAGGAACACCAAUGGCGAAGGCAGCUCGCUGGGACGUGACUGACGCUGAGACGCGAAAGCGUGGGGAGCAAACAGG